AAAUAAAUUAAAUAUAAAAUAAUUAAAGAAUUUUUAAAAAAUAAAGAUUAAGAGGUAUUUUUAUAAAAUAUAGAAAUCUUGCAAUAUUUUUAUUCAAAAUUAUGUGUCAUUGUAAAUAUUUUUUAGGGGUCAAAUAGGGGAAGAGAAGGCAUAAAAUAGGGGAAGCACCAAAUUCGAGGGAGUUGAGAUUUAGGGACCGAGUGAGAGAAGAUGAGCUACGUAUUAACGACGCUGACGAAGAAGAAGGAAAUAGACUCUAUAAUCAGAGACACCAUCGACAAGGUUCUCGUCCUCCGCUUUGGCCGUGCAUCCGACGCCGGCUGCCUUCACCUCGAUGACCUGCUAUCGAAAUCUGCUCGAGAGGUUUCCAAAUUCGCAAAUAUAGCUUUAGUAGAUAUAGACUCGGAGGAUGUUCAAGUUUACAUCAAAUAUUUCGACAUUUCUUUGAUUCCUUCUACCAUUUUUUUCUUCAAUGCUCAUCAUAUGAAGAUGGAUUCCGGGACUGCUGAUCAUACUAAAUGGAUUGGUGCAUUUCACACGAAACAAGAUUUCAUUGAUGUAGUGGAGGUAUAUUCAUUUCUGGAUUUGCUAAUUGGCCUAUUUAAUUCAUUUCAAUUUGUGUCCUUUUUAUGCGCCAAAUUUUAGAACAGUGGCAUUUAUGCACUACGAUGCUGACCCAUUUUUUUGGAAUGCUGAAAAUUAUUUGUACAUGUUAUUGAGAAACUCUCCUCCACCAUCAGAAGGGUUCUAAAUUUAUUUUCAAGUUACUUAGUAGAGUGCAUCUGGAUGCUGAUUGCAUAUCUGCUUAGUAAGCAAUUUUCGACCAGAGUUCCUCAAUGAUGUCUUAGAGUCCUUAACUCAUUUUCCCUGUACGAACUUAGAGGUAAGGUAGCAAGUCUGUUGCUCUAGUCAUCACUCUUUGGUAUUGCAGCGUUCUGAUGUUAUAUAGCAUGAGUACUUCCCUCUUGGAUGUAAUUCCCUAAUGGAGUUGCAGUAUUUUAUGGUUGCAGUAGUUGGAAACUGCUGAUCAUGCAAAUAAAAUAUAUUGAUAUUUUUAAUUGAGCAAGUAAUUCAUGUACAGCACCAAAUAUAAAUUAGUAAUCUUUAGGCACUCGUCUGUCAUCAGAGUUGGCAGUUUGUACUUUCUUAAGAGCAAAUGGCUAGAUAUUAACUUAUCAAUUUUGAAUGCUCAAGAAAAUAAAUAAAAGACAGCUAAGAAGAGGAAAAAGAGUUCUUGAAGUGAGAAGUUUCUGAAUAAUUUGUGUUCAUAUAGUUGUCUCUACAAAAUGUGAAGAACCUAGUGCAUGGAGAGUUAAGAGAACUACUAUCUAUUUCUCAAAGCUUUGGUAUGGAAUUGUGACUUUUUUAACCAUGAAAAAUCGUGGAAUUCUUAAACAAUUUUAGGGAGAUGAUUAGGAAAGCAGUGAAGUUCAAACAGGUCUUGGUAGUGACCAUGACAAGAGAGAUAGAAGAGGGCCUUAAGGAGAGAGGGAGGGAAGAGGUGUAAUGUGGUAAACAUAAAGGGUAGAAUUAGCAUAGGCUUUCUUCUCCGCCUGUUUGUUCGGAUUCAUGAACAGGGAUAAAAGCUUUUUGGUGGGAGAAUUUGAAAUACCUGAAAGGAAAGUACAAUUUCACAUGUACUUUUUAAUGUUUGGUAGAAGAUUUUCUUUUCUUUUACUGUUCCAAAUUUUCAUUUAUUUCAACUCCAUAUAUAAAUGCAACCUAUAUUUUGUCUAUGCCAAAUUCAACUUUCAUAUUUUACAAUGGAUCAUAGUUUAAUUGCCUUUUUCUUGCCUCUGGUGGAUUUGAUUCUAUAAUAUAAAGAACUAAAAAAUUGCUUCUGAUUUUUGCAGGCUAUAUUUAGAGGGGCAAUGAAAGGCAAAAUGAUUGUGAAUUGUCCUCUGCCCCAAGAGCGAAUACCAAAAUAUCAGUUGUUAUACAAGGACUUGUAAAGCUGUAAAAUGUUGCCUUCUUUUGUUUGGAGACUUCCAAUCAAUUCUGUGAGAGCUUACCAUUGCUUGCUUGAUUGAUCGUUGAUAUGGAAGGAAUUACUGUGAACCUAUUGAUGAAUUUCAGGAAUUAACAAGUGUACAUUUGACGGCAUUUGCAUUAUAUUAUAUUUUUUUGCUGAUCUUUUUAGUUAAAGCAAAAUUAGGACUGGCAUGUUGCGGAUUUCAUCUCGGUCUGCAAUUUUUCAAUGGAAAUUAGAUGAACUUUGGAGUUGAAUAGAGCGCCCAUGGAUGAAAAUAUGUCAUUGGCACCCUACUGUGUUUUCUGGAGCUAUUUUUCUUUAUGGAAGACUUGGUCUGUCCUGUUGCAGGUUUCAUUAUUUUAUAAAACAUGCG
RNAcentral lists this unclassified non-coding RNA (2345 nucleotides) under Hevea brasiliensis (rubber tree). The record is from RNAcentral. Lineage: Eukaryota; Viridiplantae; Streptophyta; Magnoliopsida; Malpighiales; Euphorbiaceae.